UACGUAGGGAGCAAGCGUUGUCCGGAAUCAUUGGGCGUAAAGCGCGCGUAGGUGGCCUCAUAAGUCCGCUGUGAAAGUCAAAGGCUCAACCUUUGAAAGCCGGUGGAUACUGUGAGGCUAGAGUACGGAAGAGGCGAGUGGAAUUCCUGGUGUAGCGGUGGAAUGCGCAGAUAUCAGGAGGAACACCAAUAGCGGAGGCAGCUCGCUGGGACGUUACUGACACUGAGGCGCGAAAGCGUGGGGAGCGAACAGG
RNAcentral lists this ribosomal RNA (253 nucleotides) under uncultured bacterium. RNAcentral describes it as "partial 16S ribosomal RNA". It matches the Rfam family "Bacterial small subunit ribosomal RNA", at positions 524 to 776 of the family's 1533-position model. The record is from RNAcentral.